UACGUAGGCAGCAAGCGUUGUUCGGAGUUACUGGGCGUAAAGAGUAUGUAGGCGGUUGCGUAAGUUCGGUGUGAAAUCUCCCGGCUUAACUGGGAGGGUGCGCCGAAAACUGCGUGGCUUGAGUGCGGGAGAGGAGAGCGGAAUUCCUGGUGUAGCGGUGAAAUGCGUAGAUAUCAGGAGGAACACCAAUAGCGAAGGCAGCUCGCUGGGGACGUUUACUGACACUGAGGCGCGAAAGCGUGGGGAGCGAACAGG
Molecule: ribosomal RNA, 255 nt
Filed under: uncultured bacterium
Lineage: Bacteria
Description: partial 16S ribosomal RNA
Rfam family: Bacterial small subunit ribosomal RNA
Source: RNAcentral